UAAGUAAGACAGACAAUCGCGGAUGUAAGUGCCGAAAGGCAGCAGACGAGGAAAGUCCGGGCUUCAUAGGGCAGGAUGCCGGAUAACGUCCGGUGGAGGUGACUCCCAGGCCAGUGCAACAGAAAUAAACCGCGUCGGAUUCCAUAUCGGCGUAAGGGUGGAAAGGCAGUGUAAGAGACUACCGCCUCUGCGGUAACGGAGAGGGCACAUGUAAACCCCAUUCGAAGCAAGACCGGAUAGAAGCAAUGUGGCGGCCCGUCACGCUUCAGGUAGGUCGCUUGAGCACGGCGGCAACGUCGUGCCUAGAUAGAUGAUUGUCCACGACAUAACCCGGCUUAUCGUUUUGCUUAACAC
The sequence is a non-coding RNA, 354 nucleotides long. It matches the Rfam family "Bacterial RNase P class A". From Rfam's summary of the family: Ribonuclease P (RNase P) is a ubiquitous endoribonuclease, found in archaea, bacteria and eukarya as well as chloroplasts and mitochondria. Its best characterised activity is the generation of mature 5'-ends of tRNAs by cleaving the 5'-leader elements of precursor-tRNAs. Cellular RNase Ps are ribonucleoproteins. The record is from Rfam.